AGAGGAAUAGCUGGGUUAAAUAGUGGUUCCAUACCCAAUUUCCCAAGGAAUCUCCAUACUGCUUCCCAAAUUAGCUGCAUCAAUUUGCAGUCCCACCAGCAAU
RNAcentral lists this microRNA precursor (103 nucleotides) under Marmota monax (woodchuck). Lineage: Eukaryota; Metazoa; Chordata; Mammalia; Rodentia; Sciuridae. The record is from RNAcentral.